This 253-nucleotide ribosomal RNA is filed under the name uncultured bacterium. Its description in RNAcentral is "partial 16S ribosomal RNA". It matches the Rfam family "Bacterial small subunit ribosomal RNA", at positions 524 to 776 of the family's 1533-position model. The record is from RNAcentral.
UACGUAGGGUGCAAGCGUUGUCCGGAAUUAUUGGGCGUAAAGGGCUCGUAGGCGGUUUGUCGCGUCGGGGGUGAAAACUCAGGGCUUAACCCUGAGCCUGCUUCCGAUACGGGCAGACUAGAGGUAUGCAGGGGAGAAUGGAAUUCCUGGUGUAGCGGUGAAAUGCGCAGAUAUCAGGAGGAACACCGGUGGCGAAGGCGGUUCUCUGGGCAUUACCUGACGCUGAGGAGCGAAAGUGUGGGGAGCGAACAGG